This 465-nucleotide ribosomal RNA is filed under the name uncultured Candidatus Nitrotoga sp. RNAcentral describes it as "bacterial SSU rRNA". It matches the Rfam family "Bacterial small subunit ribosomal RNA", at positions 338 to 795 of the family's 1533-position model. Lineage: Bacteria; Pseudomonadati; Pseudomonadota; Betaproteobacteria; Nitrosomonadales; Gallionellaceae. The record is from RNAcentral.
CCUACGGGGGGCAGCAGUGGGGAAUUUUGGACAAUGGGCGCAAGCCUGAUCCAGCCAUGCCGCGUGAGUGAAGAAGGCCUUCGGGUUGUAAAGCUCUUUCAGCCGGAAAGAAAACGCACGGGAUAAUACCCUGUGUGGAUGACGGUACCGGAAGAAGAAGCACCGGCUAACUACGUGCCAGCAGCCGCGGUAAUACGUAGGGUGCGAGCGUUAAUCGGAAUUACUGGGCGUAAAGCGUGCGCAGGCGGUUUUGUAAGACAGAUGUGAAAUCCCCGGGCUUAACCUGGGAACUGCAUUUGUAACUGCAAGGCUAGAGUACGGCAGAGGGGGGUAGAAUUCCACGUGUAGCAGUGAAAUGCGUAGAUAUGUGGAGGAAUACCGAUGGCGAAGGCAGCCCCCUGGGUCGAUACUGACGCUCAUGCACGAAAGCGUGGGGAGCAAACAGGAUUAGAUACCCUAGUAGUC